Molecule: ribosomal RNA, 1417 nt
Filed under: Pantoea agglomerans
Lineage: Bacteria; Pseudomonadati; Pseudomonadota; Gammaproteobacteria; Enterobacterales; Erwiniaceae
Description: partial 23S ribosomal RNA
Rfam family: Bacterial large subunit ribosomal RNA
Source: RNAcentral
AACGCUGAGGCGUGACGACGAGGCACUACGGUGCUGAAGUGAUAAAUGCCCAGCUUCCAGGAAAAGCCUCUAAGCAUCAGGUAACACAGAAUCGUACCCCAAACCGACACAGGUGGUCAGGUAGAGAAUACCAAGGCGCUUGAGAGAACUCGGGUGAAGGAACUAGGCAAAAUGGUGCCGUAACUUCGGGAGAAGGCACGCUGGCGCGUAGGUGGAGGGACCUGCUCCCCGAGCCGAAGCCAGUCGAAGAUACCAGCUGGCUGCAACUGUUUAUUAAAAACACAGCACUGUGCAAACACGAAAGUGGACGUAUACGGUGUGACGCCUGCCCGGUGCCGGAAGGUUAAUUGAUGGGGUUAUCCGCAAGGAGAAGCUCUUGAUCGAAGCCCCGGUAAACGGCGGCCGUAACUAUAACGGUCCUAAGGUAGCGAAAUUCCUUGUCGGGUAAGUUCCGACCUGCACGAAUGGCGUAAUGAUGGCCAGGCUGUCUCCACCCGAGACUCAGUGAAAUUGAACUCGCUGUGAAGAUGCAGUGUACCCGCGGCAAGACGGAAAGACCCCGUGAACCUUUACUACAGCUUGACACUGAACAUUGAGCCUUGAUGUGUAGGAUAGGUGGGAGGCUUUGAAGCGCGGACGCCAGUUCGCGUGGAGCCAACCUUGAAAUACCACCCUUUAAUGUUUGAUGUUCUAACGUAGGCCCGUGAUCCGGGCUGCGGACAGUGUCUGGUGGGUAGUUUGACUGGGGCGGUCUCCUCCUAAAGAGUAACGGAGGAGCACGAAGGUCAGCUAAUCACGGUCGGACAUCGUGAGGUUAGUGCAAUGGCAUAAGCUGGCUUGACUGCGAGAGUGACGGCUCGAGCAGGUGCGAAAGCAGGUCAUAGUGAUCCGGUGGUUCUGAAUGGAAGGGCCAUCGCUCAACGGAUAAAAGGUACUCCGGGGAUAACAGGCUGAUACCGCCCAAGAGUUCAUAUCGACGGCGGUGUUUGGCACCUCGAUGUCGGCUCAUCACAUCCUGGGGCUGAAGUAGGUCCCAAGGGUACGGCUGUUCGCCGUUUAAAGUGGUACGCGAGCUGGGUUUAGAACGUCGUGAGACAGUUCGGUCCCUAUCUGCCGUGGGCGCUGGAGAAUUGAGGGGGGUUGCUCCUAGUACGAGAGGACCGGAGUGAACGCACCACUGGUGUUCGGGUUGUCAUGCCAAUGGCAUUGCCCGGUAGCUAAGUGCGGAAAAGAUAAGUGCUGAAAGCAUCUAAGCACGAAACUUGCCCCGAGAUGAGUUCUCCCUGACUCCUUGAGAGUCCUGAAGGGACGUUGAAGACUACGACGUUGAUAGGCCGGGUGUGUAAGCGCAGCGAUGCGUUGAGCUAACCGGUACUAAUGACCCGUGAGGCUUAACCUUACAACGCCAGAGGCGUUU